Molecule: ribosomal RNA, 262 nt
Filed under: uncultured bacterium
Lineage: Bacteria
Description: partial 16S ribosomal RNA
Rfam family: Bacterial small subunit ribosomal RNA
Source: RNAcentral
GCCGCGGUAAUACGGAGGGGGCUAGCGUUGUUCGGAAUUACUGGGCGUAAAGCGCACGUAGGCGGCGAUUUAAGUCAGAGGUGAAAUCCCGGGGCUCAACCCCGGAACUGCCUUUAAUACUGCCGAUCUCGAGUCCGGAAGAGGUGAGUGGAAUUCCGAGUGUAGAGGUGAAAUUCGUAGAUAUUCGGAGGAACACCAGUGGCGAAGGCGGCUCACUGGUCCGGUACUGACGCUGAGGUGCGAAAGCGUGGGGAGCAAACAG